UUUACUCCCCCAGCCAGCCUACCCAGGACAGAAGUGAAGAACAGAAAUGGGAUCUUUGAGGGGAAGGUUGCAUGGCCGUGGGAUGUGUUGCCUCUGCUCUCAGGCUGGGAGAAUUGGAGGAAUUCUAACUCCAGGCCUGUUAGAGCUGAGACUUACUAGCCAGAACUUAUCAGCAGUAAACGACAUACAAUCACAUUGAAUUAUUUCUGUCCAGGUGUGAGACGGGGCAAUUUCAGCUGCCGGAAGAGAUUUCCCCUGAACUGGAAGAACAAGUCAGAGGUUUCUCCCAGAGAACGAUUGCUCUGUCGGAGACUCUGAGGGAGUUCAAAGACACUCUGCCCUCUGCACUGGAGAGAGCAAGAGGAAAAUCCCUGGGAGCUUCCAGACAAGGGUUUCCAGUCUCUGAAACUGAUGAGAUCUCCUGGGUGGAGCGAGAGGAGGAGUUGCAGGUCCCAGAUCCUCCGAGCUGCAAGGAAGGGAAGAUCAUCAGCAACGCCCACACAGGUGACGGGACACUGACUGAGAACCAUGAAAAGAGUCUUCAGCAUGAAGGACUGGAGCAAGUGUCUCUAC
This is a non-coding RNA of Pelodiscus sinensis (Chinese soft-shelled turtle), 573 nucleotides long. NCBI's taxonomy places the organism in Eukaryota, Metazoa, Chordata, Testudines, Trionychidae. The record is from RefSeq and is a predicted model, not a curated record.